CCUACGGGAGGCAGCAGUGAGGAAUAUUGGUCAAUGGGCGGAAGCCUGAACCAGCCAAGCCGCGUGAAGGACGAAGGUCCUACGUAUUGUAAACUUCUUUUGUCAGGGGACAAAGUCCGGUACGAGUCCCUGAACGAGGGUACCUGAAGAAAAAGCAUCGGCUAACUCCGUGCCAGCAGCCGCGGUAAUACGGAGGAUGCGAGCGUUAUCCGGAUUUAUUGGGUUUAAAGGGUGCGUAGGCGGGCUGUUAAGUCAGCGGUAAAAGCCCGGGGCUCAACCCCGGCGAGCCGUUGAAACUGGCGGGCUGGAGUUGGCGAGAGGUAUGCGGAAUGCGCGGUGUAGCGGUGAAAUGCUUAGAUAUCGCGCAGAACCCCGAUUGCGAAGGCAGCAUACCGGCGGCGAUCUGACGCUGAGGCACGAAAGCGUGGGUAUCGAACAGGAUUAGAUACCCCUGUAGUC
RNAcentral lists this ribosomal RNA (459 nucleotides) under uncultured bacterium. RNAcentral's name for it is "partial 16S ribosomal RNA". It matches the Rfam family "Bacterial small subunit ribosomal RNA", at positions 338 to 795 of the family's 1533-position model. The record is from RNAcentral.